UACGAGUGGUGCAAGCGUUAUUCGGAAUGAUUGGGCGUAAAGGGUGCGUAGAUGGCGUAUUAAGUCUACUGUUUAAUUCCCCAGCUCAACUGGGGGCCAGCAGUAGAUACUGGUAUGCUCGAGGGUGGAAGAGAGAAGUGGAAUUCUCGGAGUAGCGGUAAAAUGCGUAGAUCUCGAGAGGAACACCAAUGGCGAAGGCAGCUUCUUAGUCCACAUCUGACAUUGAGGCACGAAAGCGUGGGGAGCAAACAGG
RNAcentral lists this ribosomal RNA (253 nucleotides) under uncultured bacterium. RNAcentral describes it as "partial 16S ribosomal RNA". It matches the Rfam family "Bacterial small subunit ribosomal RNA", at positions 524 to 776 of the family's 1533-position model. The record is from RNAcentral.